Molecule: RNA transcript, 1412 nt
Organism: Papaver somniferum (opium poppy)
Lineage: Eukaryota; Viridiplantae; Streptophyta; Magnoliopsida; Ranunculales; Papaveraceae
Exons: 7
Source: RefSeq, a predicted model, not a curated record
CACCUCACCUCUGCUCUCGGUCUCCAUCUCACACCUAAAAAACCAGCACCAUGGAAAUCCCUUCUCUUGAUUCUUCCUCGAUCUAAUCAAUAACCCCAGAUGUGGCUAAUUAAAUCUCAAACCUGCUGGAAAUAGAUUUUCGAGGAGUUUGAGAAAACUUAAUCGCCCUUGAAGAAUCAAACUAGAUGUGUUGCUGCAUUUCUAGAUCUGCAAGGUUUUCUGUUUUCUUCAGGGUGGUUGGUUAUUGAUGCUAUUCGUGGUGGGAUUAUUUUGUUAAAUUAUAUGUUCUACCGGUUCGAAUAAGUUAUUGGGGUAUUAAGAUUGUUAAACCACAUGUUGUUUCUUAUAAGGUAUGGUGGGGGUAUGAGUUCAGCUAAAUCCACUCCAGAGAGUGACACUGUAGCGUGUAGCUUUCUAGGUACAUAUACUUUACUUCUUUCAUAGUGAUGAACUCAACAACUUUCAAUGGUAUUCUGAUACUUGGGUCUGGUUUCUUGUUUUGUAAUUGGUGAAUCUCUAAAUUAGAAGUGUUUAUACUUACACCUACUACAUACAUUAUUGUUAUCUGUAUAUUACCUUGAGUUGAUGUAGUCUCCUUUGACAAGUUCCGCGAUAAUGUCUUAUGAGAUUUUCUCAUAUUAUUUUUUUGAGUUUCCUUUCCAGAGAUAGGAUAUUUAUGAAAUUACAGGACUCUAUCUUUGGAUUCCCUGAGUUUGACAUUCAUCCAUGUGUACUAAUUUUGGUGUGGUAACAUGCAAGAGGGUUAAAAAAGCAUUUGAAGAGGCUCAAUGCGCUUAAGCAUUGGAUGCUUGUCAAUCUUGGUACUACCUUUAGAUUUUUACACAGUAUGAUGGAAACUCAAGGAGUCCUGAUUGUAGUUGCAAGCUUGCAGAUCAUGCUGGGAUUUAGUCAAGUAUGGGGGCUUUUUACGCUGCACACAUUCAAUUCGUUUCUAAAGAUUGUGCUGGCAUAUAAUCUAAUUGCAGCUUACUUAGUUAUUUCUUCGUGAUUGAAUCACAUGUUUUGCAUCCCUCUCAGUAUGGAACCUCUAGUUGUAUUGGUUGCAAUAAUGAUUAUUGGUAGAGGAGAAGACACUCGAACAUUGUGGAGUGACAAGUGACAACAGACUACAUAAGCAGCAGAAGCUCAAUGAUAAACGAACGACGAUGAUCCUUGUCGUAUGUGAACCAGGGACACAACACAUGGAUGCUUUGCUUGAUAUCAUUUGUGAAGUAUUGUUAUAGGAGGAGCUGAAUUAUAAUUUUGUUUUUUUUAUCAGUUGUUUAUUAGUUUAGCAUGUUGUUGUCAGAACUUAACAAUCUCGGACAUGUAUUCUCUGAACUCAGUAUUUCAUUUUUUUUUUGUAGUUUUACACCCAAUGGAAUGAAUGUAAAAUUUUCAGUUAAAUUUGA